AUACGGAGGGUGCAAGCGUUAAUCGGAAUUACUGGGCGUAAAGCGCGCGUAGGCGGUUUGUUAAGUCGGAUGUGAAAGCCCUGGGCUCAACCUGGGAACUGCAUUCGAAACUGGCACACUAGAGUAUGGGAGAGGUAAGUGGAAUUCAGGGUGUAGCGGUGAAAUGCGUAGAUAUCCUGAGGAACAUCAGUGGCGAAGGCGACUUACUGGACCAAUACUGACGCUGAGGUGCGAAAGCGUGGGGAGCAAACAGGAUUAGAAACCCCAGUAGUCC
Molecule: ribosomal RNA, 274 nt
Filed under: uncultured bacterium
Lineage: Bacteria
Description: partial 16S ribosomal RNA
Rfam family: Bacterial small subunit ribosomal RNA
Source: RNAcentral